CCUACGGGAGGCAGCAGUGGGGAAUAUUGCACAAUGGGGGAAACCCUGAUGCAGCAACGCCGCGUGAGUGAAGAAGUCUUUCGGUAUGUAAAGCUCUAUCAGCAGGGAAGAAGAUGACGGUACCUGAUUAAGACUCCCCGUCUAACUCCGUUCCAGCAGCCGCGGUCAUACGUAGGGGGCAAGCGUUAUCCGGAUUUACUGGGUGUAACGGGGGCGCAGACGGUAGUGCAAGUCUGGAGUGAAAGCCCGGGGCACAACCCCGGAACUGCUUCGGAAACUGUGUGGCUAGAGUACGGGAGGGGCAGGCGGAAUUCCUAGUGUAGCGGUGAAAUGCGUAGAUAUUAGGAGGAACACCAGUGGCGAAGGCGGCCUGCUGGACAGUAACUGACGUUGAGGCUCGAAAGCGUGGGGAGCAAACAGGAUUAGAUACCCCUGUAGUC
RNAcentral lists this ribosomal RNA (440 nucleotides) under uncultured bacterium. RNAcentral's name for it is "partial 16S ribosomal RNA". It matches the Rfam family "Bacterial small subunit ribosomal RNA", at positions 338 to 795 of the family's 1533-position model. The record is from RNAcentral.